RNAcentral lists this ribosomal RNA (533 nucleotides) under uncultured bacterium. RNAcentral's name for it is "bacterial SSU rRNA". It matches the Rfam family "Bacterial small subunit ribosomal RNA", at positions 51 to 573 of the family's 1533-position model. The record is from RNAcentral.
ACACAUGCAAGUCGAGGGGCAGCAUGAUUGAAGCUUGCUUCAAUUGAUGGCGACCGGCGCACGGGUGAGUAACGCGUAUCCAACCUUCCGUACACUCAGGGAUAGCCUUUCGAAAGAAAGAUUAAUACCUGAUGGUAUGAUGAGAUUGCAUGAUAGCAUCAUUAAAGAUUUAUCGGUGUACGAUGGGGAUGCGUUCCAUUAGGUAGUAGGCGGGGUAACGGCCCACCUAGCCUACGAUGGAUAGGGGUUCUGAGAGGAAGGUCCCCCACAUUGGAACUGAGACACGGUCCAAACUCCUACGGGAGGCAGCAGUGAGGAAUAUUGGUCAAUGGACGAGAGUCUGAACCAGCCAAGUAGCGUGAAGGAUGAAGGUCUUACGGAUUGUAAACUUCUUUUAUAAGGGAAUAAAACCUCCCACGUGUGGGAGCUUGUAUGUACUUUAUGAAUAAGGAUCGGCUAACUCCGUGCCAGCAGCCGCGGUAAUACGGAGGAUCCGAGCGUUAUCCGGAUUUAUUGGGUUUAAAGGGAGCGUA